This is a long non-coding RNA of Phacochoerus africanus (Common warthog), 763 nucleotides long. RefSeq lists it as uncharacterized. The transcript has 3 exons. Lineage: Eukaryota; Metazoa; Chordata; Mammalia; Artiodactyla; Suidae. The record is from RefSeq and is a predicted model, not a curated record.
UUUAAAUUAACUUUCUCUAAGAAUCAAAGAAUAACCUCUAGAGACCCCAGCUUGCUCAAAGAGGAUUGAAGAAAUGACCCCAAGUCCUGUUCUUGACAAGCUGACCCAAACAUUUAGAAGAAGACAGCAGGAAUCAGCCAUCAACUUUCUGUGAAAAGUACAACCACAACUGACCAUCUGCACUGGCAUACAGUCAGGCGAUUGGCCAAGGCAAGUAUCCUUUGCAUCCUUCUGAGUAUCCUGAGGAAGCUUUGCUACCCAGCCUACCAAUGAGUUUAAUGAAUAGAGGAGACUUUGUCCAGGUUCCAGGACAAUCUCAAGUCCUAAGUGGUCCUCAUCACACACUAACAGUGUCCUCUUGAUCUUCCAAAAUAAGGAAACAUGAUAGGAAAGGGGUCUGCAGAUCUUGGCCCAUGAGAACCUUCUCUAAGGGCUUUAUGUAGAGGAGACAUCAAUGCCAUCAAAUGGGGGAGCCAUCCCUACUGUGAACUACUAUGAUUUAUUCCUGAGGAAGCCAGUCUCUUCCUGGGGGCUGGAUACUCAAUGGUGUCACCUACCCAACUCCCAUAUAAAGAAAAAGAAAUGACAAUAGGGAAUCAGCACUUGAGGUGCCAUUACUUAAGUCAAGCAAGCAAAAUUCUCACUGUCUGGAAAAGACCAUCUCUCUGUGCCUCAGUUUCCUCAUCCGUAACAUAUAUCUUCAUAUGACAGUGGUAAGAAAUAAAUAAAAAUGAGUAUCUGUUCAAAUGUUAGCCAUCGGUGU